GCUGCCACAUACGACUAUACCCACUGGGAUCCCGUCCGCUCUCCCCUAGUCAAACCAGUAAGGGCCUGGGUUUAGUACUUUCGGCGGGUCUGGAAGCAGUUGGGAAUCGCGCAUCCCCGUUGGCUGCU
Non-coding RNA from Magnaporthiopsis poae ATCC 64411, 128 nucleotides. The record is from the annotation of a GenBank genome assembly. Lineage: Eukaryota; Fungi; Ascomycota; Sordariomycetes; Magnaporthales; Magnaporthaceae.